UAGCCGUAAACGAUACUCGCUAGGUGUCGGCCACGGUGCGACCGUUGUCGGUGCCGUAGGGAAGCCGUGAAGCGAGCCACCUGGGAAGUACGGCCGCAAGGCUGAAACUUAAAGGAAUUGGCGGGGGAGCACAACAACGGGUGGAGCUUGCGGUUUAAUUGGAAUCAACGCCGGAAAUCUUACCGGGACCGACAGCAACAUGAAGGCCAAGCUGAAGACUUUGCCGGAUUAGCUGAGAGGAGGUGCAUGGCGUAGUCGUGU
Molecule: ribosomal RNA, 261 nt
Filed under: uncultured archaeon
Lineage: Archaea
Description: partial 16S ribosomal RNA
Rfam family: Archaeal small subunit ribosomal RNA
Source: RNAcentral